Molecule: unclassified non-coding RNA, 380 nt
Filed under: uncultured Gemmatimonadota bacterium
Lineage: Bacteria; Pseudomonadati; Gemmatimonadota
Description: uncultured Gemmatimonadetes bacterium contains 16S-23S intergenic spacer region
Source: RNAcentral
UCCGGCUUGACGCCGGCAGUCCCCCGAGAGUCCUCAGCUUGACCUGUUAGUAACACGGGGCAAGGGUUGCGCUCGUUGCGGGACUUAACCCAACAUCUCACGACACGAGCUGACGACAGCCAUGCAGCACCUGUCUCGCGAUUCCCGAAGGCACCAAGGCAUUUCUACCGCGGUCCACAGCCGUUCGAGCCCAGGUAAGGUUCUUCGCGUUGCGUCGAAUUAAACCACAUGCUCCACCGCUUGUGCGGGCCCCCGUCAAUUCCUUUGAGUUUCAGCCUUGCGGCCGUACUCCCCAGGCGGGGCACUUAAUGCGUUAGCGCCGGCACCCAGGGGGUCGCUCCCCCAGGCACCUAGUGCCCAUCGUUUACGGCGUGGACUAC